RNAcentral lists this ribosomal RNA (513 nucleotides) under uncultured bacterium. RNAcentral's name for it is "partial 16S ribosomal RNA". It matches the Rfam family "Bacterial small subunit ribosomal RNA", at positions 29 to 523 of the family's 1533-position model. The record is from RNAcentral.
AACGAACGCUGGCGGCAGGCCUAACACAUGCAGGUCGAGCGAACAGAUGGAGUGCUUGCACUUCUGACGUUAGCGGCGAACGGGUGAGUAACACGUAAGGAAUCUACCUAUAAGCGGGGGAUAACAUUCGGAAACGGGUGCUAAUACCGCAUAAUAUCUUCUUCCGCAUGGAAGAAGAUUGAAAGACGGCUCUGCUGUCACUUAUAGAUGACCUUGCGGUGCAUUAGUUAGUUGGUGGUGUAACGGCCUACCAAGACGAUGAUGCAUAGCCGACCAGAGAGGGUGAUCGGCCACAUUGGGACUGAGACACGGCCCAAACUCCUACGGGAGGCAGCAGUAGGGAAUCUUCCGCAAUGGGCGAAAGCCUGACGGAGCAAUGCCGCGUGAGUGAAGAAGGCCUUCGGGUCGUAAAACUCUGUUAUAAGAGAAGAACAAAUUGUAGAGUAACUGCUACAGUCUUGACGGUAUCUUAUCAGAAAGCCACGGCUAACUACGUGCCAGCAGCCGCCGUAA